UGCUGGUGGUGCUGGACUCCACCGCCGAGAGGGACCAGCUGGACGAGCCGCUGACCUCCGACCCCUGGGCAGCCAGCGGGGAUCCGGCUCGCGGUCUGCGGUUCCAGUUGGCCCGCUACAGGCCGGGCGACCUGGGCUUCGUGCCCCGGCCAGCGCCGAAGCACCGGCCCGUCGUCUGCAGGGCGGGAGCAGCCGGGUCCGCGGAGUUAAAAAAGAAGCCGUCCAGCUCCGUCAAGCAGGCGGACGCAGCAGUCGGACUUCAGACCUGCGGGAAGCUCCUUACGAGACCCCAAUAACCACCAGCGUCCUCGUCAAGACGCCUUGUCCCACCCGUUUGUACGCCGUCGCCAUCCAGUCCAGCCGCACGUUAGAAAUAAGAAUGAGGACCCAGAGUCUCUCAUGAAUUCAACUUUUGUUUCCGCAUUCCAAAAAAUUCUCACUAAAAGAAGAGUACUAAAACGUGAAUAUGUGGACAAUUUAGAGCUCAUGAAGUUUGGGUUCCUCUUACAUCUUCGGAUUGUGUUUUUUGAUGAG
Molecule: long non-coding RNA, 534 nt
Organism: Gasterosteus aculeatus aculeatus (three-spined stickleback)
Lineage: Eukaryota; Metazoa; Chordata; Actinopteri; Perciformes; Gasterosteidae
Source: Ensembl